AAAAGGCUUAAGGUGGAUACCUAGGCACCCAGAGACGAUGAAGGGCGUGGUACCGACGAAAUGCUUCGGGAAGUUGGAAACAAACGUUGAUCCGAAGAUUCCCGAAUAGGGCAACCUCUUGAACUACUUAUUGAAUUCAUAGAUAAGUAAGAGGCAACCCGCUGAAUUGAAACAUCUUAGUAAGCGGAGGAAAAAAAAGCAAACGCGAUUCCCUUAGUAGCGGCGAGCGAAACGGGAUCAGCCUAAACCGUCUUUUCGGCGGGGUCGUGGGAAGGAAUCUAGACUUAGUUCAAAUAUUUUGAUUGACAUUAAGUGAAGCAGCUGAAUCCUGCACCAUAGAAGGUGAAAGUCCUGUAACUAAAAAUGAAAAUCAAAAAAAUUCUUAUCCCGAGUAGCAUGGGGCACGUGAAAUCCCGUGUGAAUCUACGAGGACCACCUCGUAAGGCUAAAUAUUCCUGGGUGACCGAUAGUGAAUUAGUACCGUGAGGGAAAGGUGAAACAGAACCCCUGACAGUUUUCUGUCAACGAAGGGGAGUGAAAUAGAACAUGAAACCGUAAGCUGACAAUCAGUGGGAGGACUAAUAGAGUCUGACCGCGUGCCUGUUGAAGAAUGAGCCGGCGACUUAUAGGAAGUGGCUAAGGUUAAGAAACAAAAUUCGAAGCCAAAGCGAAAGCAAGUCUGAAUAGGGCGAAAAGGUCACUUUUUAUGGACCCGAACCCGGGUGAUCUAACCGUGGCCAGGAUGAAGCUUGGGUAAAACCACGUGGAAGUCCGAACCGACCGAUGUUGAAAAAUCGGCGGAUGAGUUGCGGUUAGCGGAGAAAUUCCAAUCGAACCCGGAGCUAGCUGGUUCUCCUCGAAAUGCGUUGAGGCGCAGCGGUUGACGAUGGACGAUCUAGGGGUAAAGCACUGUUUCGGUGCGGGCUGCGAAAGCGGUACCAAAUCGUAGCAAACUAAGAAUACUAGAUUUUGUUUUCCGUCAACCAGUGAGACAGUGGGGGAUAAGCUUCAUUGUCAAAAGGGAAACAGCCCAGAUCACCAGCUAAGGCCCCAAAAUGAUAACUAAGUGAUAAAGGAUGUGAUCAUGCGAAGACAACCAGGAGGUUUGCUUAGAAGCAGCCAACCUUAAAAGAGUGCGUAAUAGCUCACUGGUAGAGCGUGGUUGCGCUAAAAAUGACUGGGACUAAGUUAUCUGCCGAAGCUGUGGGAUUGUAAAAUCGGUAGAGGAGCGUUCCACUCUAGGGUGAAGCAUCAACGUGAGUUGUUGUGGACGAGGUGGAAGUGAGAAUGUUGGCUUGAGUAACGAAAACAUUGGUGAGAAUCCAAUGCCCCGAAAACCUAAGGGUUCCUCCACAAGGCUCGUCCAUGGAGGGUGAGUCAGGACCUAAGGCGAGGCCGAAAGGCGUAGUCGAUGGCGAACAGGUUAAUAUUCCUGUACUUGUUUUUGUCUUGUACCGAAGGACGAAGGAGGCGUAUGUUGGCUGAUUUAUGGAACUCAGCGGAAACGUUCAAGGUUAUUGAAGAUUGAAGAAAAACAAUUUUUAAACUAAGGCGUGAUACGAUUUUUUAUUCAACACAUCGUCAUACUUCCAAGAAAAGUUCGCACUACUUAAAAGCAAAAAUAACCUGUACCCGAAACUGACACAAGUAGGUAGGUAGAGUAUACCAAGGGGCGCGAGGUAACUCUCUCUAAGGAACUCGGCAAAAUGGCCCCGUAACUUCGGGAGAAGGGGUACCCUUAUUUUAAGGGUCGCAGUGACCAGGCCCAGGCGACUGUUUACCAAAAACACAGGUCUCCGCAAAGUCGCAAGACAAUAUAUGGGGGCUGACGCCUGCCCAGUGCCGGAAGGUGAAGGAAGUUGGUGAUAAGCUGAUGACCGAAGCCCCGGUGAACGGCGGCUGUAACUCUGACAGUUAAGGUAGCGAAACGCCUUGCCAAGUAAGUUUUGGCCCGCAUGAAUGGCGUCACGAUCUGGGCACUGUCUCGGAGAGAGGCUCGGUGAAAUAGACAUGUCUGUGAAGAUGCGGACUACUAGCACCUGGACAGAAAGACCCUAUGAAGCUUGACUGUAACUUGGAAUUGGAUUUGGGCUCUUCUUGCGCAGCCUAGGUGGGAGGCGAUGAAGGUCCCCUUUUGGGGGGGCUCGAGCCAUCAGUGAGAGACCACUCUGGGAAAGCUAGAAUCCUAAUAGCGCUCCUUGAAUCAGGACGCUUGACAGUUUCAGGUGGACAGUUUUACUGGGGCGGUAACUUGCCUAAAAGGUAACGGAGGUGUGCAAAGGUUCCCUCAGGCUGGACGGAAAUCAGCUGUAGAGUGUAAAGGCAGAAGGGAGCUUGACUGCAAGACCUACAAGUCGAGCAGGGGCGAAAGCCGGCCUUAGUGAUCCGACGGUUCCGAGUGGAAGGGCCGUCGCUCAACGGAUAAAAGUUACUCUAGGGAUAACAGGCUGAUCUUCCCCAAGAGUUCACAUCGACGGGAAGGUUUGGCACCUCGAUGUCGAUUUAUCGCAACCUGGGGCGGUAGUACGUCCCAAGGGUUGGGCUGUUCGCCCAUGAAAGCGGUACGUGAGUUGGGUUCUAAUGCGUGAGACAGUUCGGUCCAUAUCCGGUGUUAGCGUAAGAGCAUUGAGAGGAGCUCGACAUUGUACGAGAGGACCCGAAGGGACGUACCUAUGGUGUACCAGUUCUUGUGCCAACGGGAAACGCUGGGUAGCUAUGUACGGAGCGGAUAAGUGCUGAAAGCAUCUGAAGUACGAAGCCCACCUCAAGAUGAGUGCUCUCUAUUAGGUCACGGCAAGACUAGCCGGUUAUAGGUAUCAGCUGAAAGGCCAGUAAUGGUUGAAGGUGAGAUAUACUAACAGACCAAUUGAUUUUGAC
RNAcentral lists this ribosomal RNA (2877 nucleotides) under Symbiochloris sp. SG-2018. RNAcentral's name for it is "23S ribosomal RNA". It matches the Rfam family "Bacterial large subunit ribosomal RNA". Lineage: Eukaryota; Viridiplantae; Chlorophyta; Trebouxiophyceae; Trebouxiales; Trebouxiaceae. The record is from RNAcentral.